This 304-nucleotide RNase P RNA is filed under the name Candidatus Bathyarchaeota archaeon. RNAcentral describes it as "RNase P RNA component". It matches the Rfam family "Archaeal RNase P". Rfam says of the family: Ribonuclease P (RNase P) is a ubiquitous endoribonuclease, found in archaea, bacteria and eukarya as well as chloroplasts and mitochondria. Its best characterised activity is the generation of mature 5'-ends of tRNAs by cleaving the 5'-leader elements of precursor-tRNAs. The record is from RNAcentral. RNAcentral also lists the same sequence under 1 other name. Lineage: Archaea; Thermoproteati; Candidatus Bathyarchaeota.
GCGAGCUGGUGGGCGGCUGCCGGGUCGACCAGUUAAAGACUGGUCGACCUGAGGAAACUCCACCCACAUCGUGGAGGCGCGCACCCGUGAGGGUGUGGGCGAGAGCCCAAGCCACGGCACAGAAAAGACACCUCCCCCAUCGAGUACGAUGAUGCGGGAACGUUGAGGUUGAUGGAUGGAGGAUGAAACCGGCCGGGCCGCGCUGUGAAAGGGAUAAUAGGCGCCCAUGAGGUCCACGCGAGGCGCGGGUAUCCCGAUCAGAUGGAUGCCGCCUAAAACAGAAGGUGGGUUACGGCCAGCACGC